GGAGGAGAGCAGCUGAGCAUUUUACGUCACUUCACUUUUAUAUCAAACAACAAUGCUCUCAUUAUCAGUGCUGCUGCUGCUUUCAGCUUCAUUCUGUGGUGUUGGCGGUGUGGAGCUCACUCAGACAGCCUCUGUGCUCUUGAAGCCUGGAGAGUCGUUCUCCAUCUCUUGUAAGAUCUCAGUGUGGAGUUACUGUAUUCACUGGAUAUGGCAACCUGCUGGAAAAGCUCUGGAAUGGCUCGGAUAUCUCUGUAGUGGUGGUGGCACUGAUCUCAAAGACACAAUGAAGAGCAAGAUCAGUCUCAGCCAGGACAAAUCCAUCAGCACGGUUUAUUUAAGAGGACAGAACUUUCAGGUCGAGGACACGGCUGUGUAUUACUGUGCCAGAGACACAACACGACAAACUCACUGAAGCCCUAGCGCUCUUAUUGACUUGGUGUUGCAUUUGAUCUGAUCUGUCCCAUUGAGCAAGAUAUGUUAUACGUUCUUUAUAGUAUGUAUUUCUGAUCUUCUUCUAUGCUAUAAUUACUGUUUCUGAUUACAAUCAUUAUUACUCUUAGGGAAGGUUCUUGUUUCUUUCUGCACUCUCAUCUAUUAUGGUUUUCCCUGUGAUUAUUUUAUAGCUAUAAUGCUUACAGUGAAUUAUGGAUUGUCAUAGUUCUGCUCAUAUGUUAAACCUACUACUGGGUGUUUCAUAUUUCAUACCGAGGAUAUAUCUUAUCUUAUGGAACUGAGAGUAUAUAAGGUAAGGAGAGAUAAGGAAGUGGGUGAUAUAUUUAGUUGUUGUUUUGGGGGUUUGGUUGC
This is a non-coding RNA of Hemibagrus wyckioides, 804 nucleotides long. The record is from the annotation of a RefSeq genome assembly. NCBI's taxonomy places the organism in Eukaryota, Metazoa, Chordata, Actinopteri, Siluriformes, Bagridae.